Molecule: ribosomal RNA, 473 nt
Filed under: uncultured organism
Description: partial 16S ribosomal RNA
Rfam family: Bacterial small subunit ribosomal RNA
Source: RNAcentral
ACACUCCUACGGGAGGCAGCAGUGGGGAAUAUUGCACAAUGGGCGCAAGCCUGAUGCAGCCAUGCCGCGUGUAUGAAGAAGGCCUUCGGGUUGUAAAGUACUUUCAGCGGGGAGGAAGGCGAUAAGGUUAAUAACCUUGUCGAUUGACGUUACCCGCAGAAGAAGCACCGGCUAACUCCGUGCCAGCAGCCGCGGUAAUACGGAGGGUGCAAGCGUUAAUCGGAAUUACUGGGCGUAAAGCGCACGCAGGCGGUCUGUCAAGUCGGAUGUGAAAUCCCCGGGCUCAACCUGGGAACUGCAUUCGAAACUGGCAGGCUAGAGUCUUGUAGAGGGGGGUAUAAUUCCAGGUGUAGCGGUGAAAUGCGUAGAGAUCUGGAGGAAUACCGGUGGCGAAGGCGGCCCCCUGGACAAAGACUGACGCUCAGGUGCGAAAGCGUGGGGAGCAAACAGGAUUAGAAACCCCUGUAGUCCCA